RNAcentral lists this ribosomal RNA (253 nucleotides) under uncultured bacterium. RNAcentral describes it as "partial 16S ribosomal RNA". It matches the Rfam family "Bacterial small subunit ribosomal RNA", at positions 524 to 776 of the family's 1533-position model. The record is from RNAcentral.
UACGAAGGGGGCUAGCGUUGCUCGGAAUCACUGGGCGUAAAGCGCACGUAGGCGGCUUCUUAAGUCAGGGGUGAAAUCCUGGAGCUCAACUCCAGAACUGCCUUUGAUACUGGGGAUCUCGAGUCCGGAAGAGGCGAGUGGAACUCCUGGUGUAGCGGUGGAAUGCGCAGAUAUCAGGAAGAACACCAACGGCGAAGGCAGCUCGCUGGGACGGUACUGACGCUGAGACGCGAAAGCGUGGGGAGCGAACAGG